GACGAACGCUGGCGGCGUGCUUAACACAUGCAAGUCGAACGGAAAGGCCCUGCUUUUGUGUGGUGCUCGAGUGGCGAACGGGUGAGUAACACGUGAGUAACCUUCCCUUGACUUUGGGAUGACUUCAGGAAACUGGGGCUACUACCGGAUAGGAGCUCCUGCUGCAUGGUGGGGGUUGGACAGUUUCGGCGGUUGGGGAUGGACGCGCGGCUUAUCAGCUUGUUGGUGGGGUAGUUGCUUACCAAGGCUUUGACGGGUAGCCGGCAUGAGAGGGUGAACGGCGACAUUGGGACUGAGAGACGGCCCAGACUCCUACGGGAGGCAGCAGUGGGGAAUAUUGCACAAUGGGCGGAAGCGUGAUGCAGAAACGCCGCGUGCGGGAUGACGGCCUUCGGGUUGUAAACCGCUUUAGCCUGUGACGAAGCGUGAGUGACGGUAAUGGGUAAAGAAGCACCGGCUAACUACGUG
This 468-nucleotide ribosomal RNA is filed under the name uncultured bacterium. RNAcentral describes it as "partial 16S ribosomal RNA". It matches the Rfam family "Bacterial small subunit ribosomal RNA", at positions 28 to 507 of the family's 1533-position model. The record is from RNAcentral.